This 403-nucleotide ribosomal RNA is filed under the name Klebsiella pneumoniae. Its description in RNAcentral is "bacterial LSU rRNA". It matches the Rfam family "Bacterial large subunit ribosomal RNA", at positions 984 to 1386 of the family's 2925-position model. Lineage: Bacteria; Pseudomonadati; Pseudomonadota; Gammaproteobacteria; Enterobacterales; Enterobacteriaceae. The record is from RNAcentral.
ACACACGGCGGGUGCUAACGUCCGUCGUGAAGAGGGAAACAACCCAGACCGCCAGCUAAGGUCCCAAAGUCAUGGUUAAGUGGGAAACGAUGUGGGAAGGCACAGACAGCCAGGAUGUUGGCUUAGAAGCAGCCAUCAUUAAAGAAAGCGUAAUAGCUCACUGGUCGAGUCGGCCUGCGCGGAAGAUGUAACGGGGCUAAACCAUGCACCGGAAGCUGCGGCAGCGACACUAUGUGUUGUUGGGUAGGGGAGCGUUCUGUAAGCCUACGAAGGUGACCUGUGAGGGUUGCUGGAGGUAUCAGAAGUGCGAAUGCUGACAUAAGUAACGAUAAAGCGGGUGAAAAGCCCGCUCGCCGGAAGACCAAGGGUUCCUGUCCAACGUUAAUCGGGGCAGGGUGAGUCG